UGCACCACCACAAUUACCAUCACCAUCGUCGAUCGCCACCACCACCAUCAACACCUCCACCUGCACCACCAACCAAAAUCGCCACCAUAUCUACCAUCGUCGCCAAUCUUCUACCUACACAACCAGCAAAAACUACCUAAAACUCCCAUCAACACUAAAACCACCCCAAACCACUCCAUUGUCGCCAUCACUGAAUCGUGGUACAGAUCGACGAAUUAGAGAAAAUUUCAG
RNAcentral lists this long non-coding RNA (231 nucleotides) under Olea europaea (common olive). RNAcentral's name for it is "long non-coding RNA (OEUR_LNC005960)". The record is from RNAcentral. Lineage: Eukaryota; Viridiplantae; Streptophyta; Magnoliopsida; Lamiales; Oleaceae.